RNAcentral lists this ribosomal RNA (465 nucleotides) under uncultured bacterium. RNAcentral's name for it is "bacterial SSU rRNA". It matches the Rfam family "Bacterial small subunit ribosomal RNA", at positions 56 to 507 of the family's 1533-position model. The record is from RNAcentral.
UGCAAGUCGAACGGCAGCACAGCAGAGCUUGCUCUGGUGGGUGGCGAGUGGCGGACGGGUGAGGAAUACGUGGGAAUCUGCCCAGUCGUGGGGGAUAACGUAGGGAAACUUACGCUAAUACCGCAUGCGCCCUUCGGGGGAAAGCCGGGGGACCUUCGGGCCUGGCGCGAUUGGAUGAGCCCACGUCGGAUUAGCUAGUUGGCGGGGUAAAGGCCCACCAAGGCGACGAUCCGUAGCUGGGUCUGAGAGGAUGAUCAGCCACACUGGAACUGAGACACGGUCCAGACUCCUACGGGAGGCAGCAGUAGGGAAUAUUGGACAAUGGGCGCAAGCCUGAUCCAGCCAUGCCGCGUGAGUGAAGAAGGCCCUCGGGUUGUAAAGCUCUUUUGUCCGGAAAGAAAAGCGCCGGGUUAAUACCCUGGUGUCCUGACGGUACCGGAAGAAUAAGCACCGGCUAACUUCGUG